This 425-nucleotide ribosomal RNA is filed under the name uncultured bacterium. RNAcentral describes it as "bacterial SSU rRNA". It matches the Rfam family "Bacterial small subunit ribosomal RNA", at positions 356 to 773 of the family's 1533-position model. The record is from RNAcentral.
GGGGAAUUUUGGACAAUGGGGGCAACCCUGAUCCAGCCAUGCCGCGUGAGUGAAGAAGGCCUUCGGGUUGUAAAGCUCUUUCGCGAGGGAAGAAAUUGCACCGGAUAAUACCUGGUGUAGAUGACGGUACCUUGAUAAGAAGCACCGGCUAACUACGUGCCAGCAGCCGCGGUAAUACGUAGGGUGCGAGCGUUAAUCGGAAUUACUGGGCGUAAAGCGUGCGCAGGCGGUUUCGUAAGACAGGCGUGAAAUCCCCGGGCUUAACCUGGGAACUGCGCUUGUGACUGCGAGGCUAGAGUACGGCAGAGGGAGGUAGAAUUCCACGUGUAGCAGUGAAAUGCGUAGAGAUGUGGAGGAAUACCGAUGGCGAAGGCAGCAUGCCAGCGCCUUACUGACGCUGAGGCACGAAAGUGUGGGUAUCGAAC